ACAUGAAGCUGGAGUUACUGUAAUCGCAGAUCAGAAUGCUGCGGUGAAUGCGUUCCCGGGUCUUGUACACACCGCCCGUCACACCACGGAAGUUGGGGGCGCCCGAAGCCACUUAGCUAACCCUUUUGGGAAGCGAGUGUCGAAGGUGAAAUCAAUAACUGGGGUGAAGUCGUAACAAGGUACC
This 184-nucleotide ribosomal RNA is filed under the name uncultured bacterium. Its description in RNAcentral is "partial 16S ribosomal RNA". It matches the Rfam family "Bacterial small subunit ribosomal RNA", at positions 1318 to 1500 of the family's 1533-position model. The record is from RNAcentral.